UGAGGAGAGGGGAAGUCAGUAGUCUGGGGAGACAGUGAAGUUGGCAGCAAUUGCAUGUAGCUGUUCCUACAGUGCCUGCCUGAAUCUGGGCUUUAGCAUCUUUGGUUUUGGGGGUCUAAUCAGCCAUCUGACUGCCUCUGUGUUUAAAUCAUGAACUGGGAAAGUUACGUGGGUGGAAGCUUUUCAAGGCUCACAUAAGAUCUUUUCUUUCCAAAUGUAGCAGGGCCAAGCUUACUGUUGAUUGAUUUAUCCUUUCUGUGGGUGCUGGAACAGCCCCUUGAAGGGCAGAGAGGAAGGAACUCUAUGUAAAAAGUGGCAUGUCAGGACUGAAGUAUAAAUGUCUCCAGAGUAUUCCCGAAGUUGUGUUUCUGCUUGGUGGCACCUUCACCCAAAACUUUAAGGGUCAUCAUUCUGAUACCUUCAAACAACAUUGGAAACCUUUAUUUAUUUUAAUGGUUUCACAUGGUUUAUACUCAAUAUCUGGCUGAGCAAAUACGUUUAGUCUUUAUUGUGGCAUCAUUAAGGCUUUGGACUUGGCAUGAGAGGAUUAAAUGUUUAAAUGUGUAGAAGUGUACACUGGCUCUCAAGCCCAGAGCUCUAUUUUGUCAACUCAGUGUUAGCUGCCUGGCUAGGCCUUGUCAUGUGUGAGUUCAAGCAUGUUUGUUCUCAACAACACACCUUAGUUAUCAAGAAAAACAAACUCUACUUUCUUUUCUGAUGCUGAAUUCCUACAAAAGGUGUUAAAUGUCAGAGAUGAGAACAAAAUUAUUUGUUUCACUUUGACUCCUUAUUGCUGUUUAAAGCCAUGGUGAAGUGGUGAAGGCUAGGAUAUGUGCAAGUAGUGAAUGAGCCAAACCAUCCACAAAUGGAGGAGUUGUGAGUUGUGAAGGGAGUCAAAAGGAAAACAGUAGAAAAACACUACAGCGGUGAUCAACAAAUGGUGUUCUCCUUUGCACAACUUUGAUUAGAUUUGCAUUUUUGUAUUUUGUUAUGUCCUGUCAUCUUUAAAAGAAAUGAGAAUAUGCAACUACACUGUAUUGCUACAUCAGAAAUUCCUAGGUUGCUUCACUUGCUGCAUCAAUAAUGAGGCUUAAUGUUUGUUUAUAGGAAGGCUGUCUGAAAAGCACAUUUGCUUUUUCCUAUCUUACACAGUUUACAGAGAAAAUAUUUAGUGGUGUCUUAAGUGAGCU
Molecule: long non-coding RNA, 1190 nt
Filed under: Taeniopygia guttata (zebra finch)
Lineage: Eukaryota; Metazoa; Chordata; Aves; Passeriformes; Estrildidae
Description: lncRNA (ENSTGUG00000026108.1)
Source: RNAcentral